CCUACGGGGGGCAGCAGUGGGGAAUAUUGGACAAUGGGGGCAACCCUGAUCCAGCCAUGCCGCGUGUGUGAAGAAGGCCCUCGGGUUGUAAAGCACUUUCAGUGAGGAAGAACGCCUGGUGGUUAAUACCCAUCAGGAAAGACAUCACUCACAGAAGAAGCACCGGCUAACUCCGUGCCAGCAGCCGCGGUAAUACGGAGGGUGCGAGCGUUAAUCGGAAUUACUGGGCGUAAAGCGCGCGUAGGUGGCUUGAUAAGCCGGUUGUGAAAGCCCCGGGCUCAACCUGGGAACGGCAUCCGGAACUGUCAAGCUAGAGUGCAGGAGAGGAAGGUAGAAUUCCCGGUGUAGCGGUGAAAUGCGUAGACAUCGGGAGGAAUACCAGUGGCGAAGGCGGCCUUCUGGACUGACACUGACACUGAGGUGCGAAAGCGUGGGUAGCAAACAGGAUUAGAUACCCCGGUAGUC
Molecule: ribosomal RNA, 465 nt
Filed under: Vreelandella stevensii
Lineage: Bacteria; Pseudomonadati; Pseudomonadota; Gammaproteobacteria; Oceanospirillales; Halomonadaceae
Description: partial 16S ribosomal RNA
Rfam family: Bacterial small subunit ribosomal RNA
Source: RNAcentral